Long non-coding RNA from Octopus sinensis (East Asian common octopus), 171 nucleotides. RefSeq lists it as uncharacterized. NCBI's taxonomy places the organism in Eukaryota, Metazoa, Mollusca, Cephalopoda, Octopoda, Octopodidae. The transcript has 3 exons. The record is from RefSeq and is a predicted model, not a curated record.
UAAGUAUGUUUAGUUCAUUACGGAAAAGUCAUCCUGUUUUGCAGAUUGUAAAUGGGGCAUUGAUUGAUUUACCAUCACCUGUUAAUUUAUUUAUUUGAUGGAAUUUUGGUUCUUUAUUAAGAUUAUGUUUAAUUAUUCAAUUAAGAAGAGAGAGAGAGAGAAAGAACACAC